CCUACGGGUGGCAGCAGUGGGGGAUCUUGCACAAUGGGCGAAACCCUGAUGCAGCGACGCCGCGUGAGUGAAGAAGUAUUUCGGUUUGUAAAGCUCUAUCAGCAGGGAAGAAAAUGACAGUACCUGACCAAGCAGCCCCUGCUAACUACGUGCCAGCAGCCGCGGUAAUACGUAGGGGGCACGCGUUCUCCGGAUUUACUGGGUGUAAAGGGAGCGUAGACGGUUAUGUAAGUCUGGCGUGAAAGCCCGGGGCUCAACCCCGGGGCUGCUUUGGAAACUGUGUAACUGGAGUACAGGAGGGGCAGGCGGAAUGCCUGGUGUAGCGGUGAAAUGCGUAGAUAUCAGGAGGAACACCGGCGGCGAAGGCGGCCUGCUGGACUGAAACUGACGUUGAGGCUCGAAAGCGUGGGGAGCAAACAGGAUUAGAUACCCGUGUAGUC
RNAcentral lists this ribosomal RNA (440 nucleotides) under uncultured bacterium. RNAcentral describes it as "partial 16S ribosomal RNA". It matches the Rfam family "Bacterial small subunit ribosomal RNA", at positions 338 to 795 of the family's 1533-position model. The record is from RNAcentral.